Molecule: ribosomal RNA, 233 nt
Filed under: uncultured bacterium
Lineage: Bacteria
Description: partial 16S ribosomal RNA
Rfam family: Bacterial small subunit ribosomal RNA
Source: RNAcentral
UCCGGAAUCAUUGGGCGUAAAGAGCGCGUAGGCGGUCCAGUAAGUCCGCUCUGAAAGUCCGGGGCUCAACCCCGGGAGGCGGGCGGAUACUGCUGGGCUAGAGUCCGGAAGAGGCGAGUGGAAUUCCUGGUGUAGCGGUGAAAUGCGCAGAUAUCAGGAGGAACACCAAUGGCGAAGGCAGCUCGCUGGGACGGUACUGACGCUGAGGCGCGAAAGCGUGGGGAGCAAACAGG